CGUAGGGUGCAAGCGUUAAUCGGAAUUACUGGGCGUAAAGCGUGCGCAGGUGGUUUUGUAAGUCUGUCGUGAAAUCCCCGGGCUCAACCUGGGAAUGGCGAUGGAGACUGCAAGGCUAGAGUUUGGCAGAGGGGGGUAGAAUUCCACGUGUAGCAGUGAAAUGCGUAGAUAUGUGGAGGAACACCGAUGGCGAAGGCAGCCCCCUGGGUCAAAACUGACGCUCAUGCACGAAAGCGUGGGGAGCAAACAGGAUUAGAUACCCUGGUAGUCCACGCCCUAAACGAUGUCUACUAGUUGUCGGGUCUUAAUUGACUUGGUAACGCAGCUAACGCGUGAAGUAGACCGCCUGGGGAGUACGGUCGCAAGAUUA
This 370-nucleotide ribosomal RNA is filed under the name uncultured organism. Its description in RNAcentral is "bacterial SSU rRNA". It matches the Rfam family "Bacterial small subunit ribosomal RNA", at positions 526 to 896 of the family's 1533-position model. The record is from RNAcentral.